RNAcentral lists this transfer RNA (66 nucleotides) under Luperomorpha hainana. Its description in RNAcentral is "tRNA-Val". Lineage: Eukaryota; Metazoa; Arthropoda; Insecta; Coleoptera; Chrysomelidae. The record is from RNAcentral.
CAAAUUAUAGUUUAUUAAAACAUUUUAGUUACAUUAAAAAGUAAAUUUUAAAGUUAUUUAAUUUGA